This is a long non-coding RNA of Oncorhynchus nerka (sockeye salmon), 1272 nucleotides long. RefSeq lists it as uncharacterized. NCBI's taxonomy places the organism in Eukaryota, Metazoa, Chordata, Actinopteri, Salmoniformes, Salmonidae. The record is from RefSeq and is a predicted model, not a curated record. The transcript has 2 exons.
CCCAAAGACACAACAAUGAGGUUUGGAUGAGAGAAAACGUGGAAUAGAGUGAAAAUGAUAGGUUCUAUUUUACUUGUAUAGAAAUAGUUUGAAUUGUUUGGAUUCUGAGAGGGUUUUGUGAAAGAAAGUGUUUGUGAUGGAUUCAAACCUGACGACAUGACACUCAAGUUUUAAGUUCUAUUUUGGUUCGGUUUAACAUGAAGGAAUUGGUCAUUGUUCUUGGCCAAGUCAACUAUAACGAACAGCGCACUACCGCUAACCAGAAUAGAAAGAGGAGUGGAGGCCCCGGUGCACAGCUGAGGAAGAGGACAAGUACAUUAGAGUGUCUAGUUUGAGAAACAGACCCCUCACAAGUCCUCAACUGGCAGCUUCAUUAAAUAGUACCCCGCAAAACAGUCUCAACGUCAACAGGGAAGAGGCGACUCCAGGAUGCAAUGACUUUUCUAAGUGACCUUAAACUUUUGAACGGUAGUGUAUAUAUACAGUACCAGUCAAAAGUUUGGACACACCUACACAUUCAAGGGUUUUUCUUUAUUUGUACUAUUUUCUACAUUGCAGAAUAAUAGUGAAGGGAUCAAACUAUGAAAUAACACAUAUGGAAUCAUGUAGUAACAAAAAGAGUGUUCAACAUAACAAAAUAUAUUUUAUAUUUGAGAUUCUAAAAGUAGCCAACCUUCGCUUUGAUGACAGCUUUGCACACUAUUGGCAUUCUCUCAACCAGCUUCACCUGAAAUGCUUUUCCAACCGUCUUGAAGUUCCCACAUAUGCUGAAUAUUUGUUGGCUGCUUUUCCUUCACUCUUUGGUCCAACUCAUCCCAAAUCAUCUCAAUUGGGUUGAGGUUGGGUGAUUGUGGAGGCCAGGUCAUCUGAUGUAUCAUUAAGAUUUUGCUUGUGCUUAGCUAUAUUCCAUUUAUUUUUAUCCUAAAAAAAAUUGCCUGAUGACAAACAUACCCAUAACAUUAUGCAGCCACCACAAUGCUUGAAAAUAUGAAGAGUGGUACUCAGUGAUGUGAUGUGUUGGAUUUUCCCCAAAUAUAACACUUUGUAUUCAGGACAGAAAGUUAAUUUCUUCGUAACAAUUUUUGCAGUUUUACUUUAGUGCCUUAUUGCAAACAGGAUGGCAUAUUUUGGAAUAUUUUUUAUUCUGUACAAGCUUCCUUCUUUUCACUCUGUCAUUUAGGUUAGUAUUGUGGAGUAACUACAAUGUUGUUGAUCCAUCCUCAGUUUUUUCCUAUCACAGCCAUUAAAUUCUGUAACUAUUUCAGUCACCAA